AUCCCUUCGCAGUGGCAGAGUCAGGGCCUAUGAGGUCAAUCCGAGGCGUGAUUAUUGCUAGUUGAAAACUUAAUUCACCCCGCCUUGACGACCUGAAAUAUAGUCGGUAAUGGUACUUUUGAUGGUCUCUAUGGAGA
Small nuclear RNA from Hippoglossus stenolepis (Pacific halibut), 137 nucleotides. RefSeq annotates it as U4 spliceosomal RNA. The transcript has a single exon. Lineage: Eukaryota; Metazoa; Chordata; Actinopteri; Pleuronectiformes; Pleuronectidae. The record is from RefSeq and is a predicted model, not a curated record.